RNAcentral lists this transfer RNA (69 nucleotides) under Chilara taylori (spotted cusk-eel). Its description in RNAcentral is "tRNA-Ser". Lineage: Eukaryota; Metazoa; Chordata; Actinopteri; Ophidiiformes; Ophidiidae. The record is from RNAcentral.
GAGAGGGGCAUGAUUGCAUCUAAUACUGCUAAUUUUUAGUUUCCCCAGUUUAACUCCGGGGCCCACUCG